This 84-nucleotide transfer RNA is filed under the name Scleropages formosus (Asian bonytongue). Its description in RNAcentral is "tRNA-Leu". It matches the Rfam family "tRNA". From Rfam's summary of the family: Transfer RNA (tRNA) molecules are approximately 80 nucleotides in length. Their secondary structure includes four short double-helical elements and three loops (D, anti-codon, and T loops). Lineage: Eukaryota; Metazoa; Chordata; Actinopteri; Osteoglossiformes; Osteoglossidae. The record is from RNAcentral.
GUCAGGAUAGCCGAGCGGUCUAAGGCACCAGACNCAAGCGCUGGUCUCCGGAUAGAGAUGUGGGUUUGAAUCCCACUUCUGACA